This is a long non-coding RNA of Leguminivora glycinivorella, 336 nucleotides long. RefSeq lists it as uncharacterized. The record is from RefSeq and is a predicted model, not a curated record. NCBI's taxonomy places the organism in Eukaryota, Metazoa, Arthropoda, Insecta, Lepidoptera, Tortricidae. The transcript has 3 exons.
GCUUCAGGUUGGACCGUCUUCCAUAUAUCUACUGACUUCAUAUAAAUGAAAGUGUACUGAGGACUCACUAAUCUGCACUACUAGUAACAAAGUAAUCCGACAAUCAGACUGGACCCGGUCAUGUUAGAUACCAGUGGAAGGAGAUGAACAUACAAUCGAUUCUGCAUCGAUGCAUAACUUCGCUCGGAACGCGGCAAGAAUUAACAAUAGAAGAAAAUACUACAGACGUGUUUAUUAACAAUAAAGUUAUUUUUGUUUUUAUGAAAUAGCGAUUGAAUAAAAAUAUUAGGUAUAUGAGUUUUAUUUAGAGAUGAAAUAAGUCAGAAAUACAGCACA